Hemicordylus capensis (graceful crag lizard) is the source of this 191-nucleotide small nuclear RNA. RefSeq annotates it as U2 spliceosomal RNA. The record is from RefSeq and is a predicted model, not a curated record. Lineage: Eukaryota; Metazoa; Chordata; Lepidosauria; Squamata; Cordylidae. The transcript has a single exon.
AUCGCUUCUCGGCCUUAUGGCUAAGAUCAUGGAUAGUAUCUGUUCUUAUCAGUUUAAUCUCUGAUAUGUCCUUUAUUUGAGGACUAAGUAUUAAUUUCAUUUUUAGAUCUAGGAUGUGAAAAGAGAGCUUGCUUCAUUCACUCCAAGCAUUAGCCUGGUAUUGCAGUAUUUCCAGGAGUGGUGCGCCUCCC